Molecule: ribosomal RNA, 1242 nt
Filed under: uncultured bacterium
Lineage: Bacteria
Description: bacterial SSU rRNA
Rfam family: Bacterial small subunit ribosomal RNA
Source: RNAcentral
UUUAUGCACCAUUGGAUGAGCCUGCACUUGAUUAGUUUGUUGGUGGGGUAAUGGCCUACCAAGACUGUGAUCAAUAGCUGAUUUGAGAGGAUGAUCAGCCACAUUGGGACUGAGACACGGCCCAAACUCCUACGGGAGGCAGCAGUGGGGAAUCUUGCACAAUGGAGGAAACUCUGAUGCAGCGAUGCCGCGUGAGUGAAGAAGGCCCUUGGGUUGUAAAGCUCUUUCGUCGGGGAAGAAAAUGACUGUACCCGAAUAAGAAGGUCCGGCUAACUUCGUGCCAGCAGCCGCGGUAAUACGAAGGGACCUAGCGUAGUUCGGAAUUACUGGGCUUAAAGAGUUCGUAGGUGGUUGAAAAAGUUAGUGGUGAAAUCCCAGAGCUUAACUCUGGAACUGCCAUUAAAACUUUUCAGCUAGAGUAUGAUAGAGGAAAGCAGAAUUUCUAGUGUAGAGGUGAAAUUCGUAGAUAUUAGAAAGAAUACCAAUUGCGAAGGCAGCUUUCUGGAUCAUUACUGACACUGAGGAACGAAAGCAUGGGUAGCGAAGAGGAUUAGAUACCCUCGUAGUCCAUGCCGUAAACGAUGUGUGUUAGACGUUGGAAAUUUAUUUUCAGUGUCGCAGGGAAACCGAUAAACACACCGCCUGGGGAGUACGACCGCAAGGUUAAAACUCAAAUGAAUUGACGGGGACCCGCACAAGUAGUGGAGCAUGUGGUUUAAUUCGAAGAUACGCGCAGAACCUUACCAACACUUGACAUGUUCGUCGCGACUCUAAGAGAUUAGAGUUUUCGGUUCGGCCGGACGAAACACAGGUGCUGCAUGGCUGUCGUCAGCUCGUGUCGUGAGAUGUUGGGUUAAGUCCCGCAACGAGCGCAACCCUCACUUUUAGUUGCCAUCAUUAAGUUGGGCACUCUGAAAGAACUGCCAGUGAUAAGCUGGAGGAAGGUGGGGAUGACGUCAAGUCCUCAUGGCCCUUACGUGUUGGGCUACACACGUGCUACAAUGGUAUCUACAACAGGAAGCAAGACUGCGAAGUUAAGCAAAUCCCUAAAAGAUACCUCAGUUCGGAUUGCACUCUGCAACUCGAGUGCAUGAAGCUGGAAUUACUAGUAAUCGUGGAUCAGCGUGCCACGGUGAAUGCGUUCCCGGGUCUUGUACACACCGCCCGUCACACCAUGGGAGUUGGUUCUACCUUAAGGCAAGGUUUAAAACCCUUGACCACGGUAUAGUCAGCGACUGGGGU